CGGGGCUGAGGCGCUGCCUAUGGCGGCCGCGCUCCCCGUGGGGGAGCGCGGCCGCCAUUUUGUGUGCGCGGAGGCCGGCGCCGGGCCUCGGUGCCCGCUGCGGCGGGGCCGGUGGACCAAAGGCUGCCUGCUUUUUGGAAGGCUGUCGGGCACUGGCCUCACCGGUGAGCACUGUAAAAACUCUCCCCUGUACAGGGUUAACCCUGUUACGCGGCUUCUCCUUUA
This is a long non-coding RNA of Oxyura jamaicensis (ruddy duck), 225 nucleotides long. RefSeq lists it as uncharacterized. The transcript has 2 exons. The record is from RefSeq and is a predicted model, not a curated record. NCBI's taxonomy places the organism in Eukaryota, Metazoa, Chordata, Aves, Anseriformes, Anatidae.